CCUACGGGGGGCAGCAGUGAGGAAUAUUGGUCAAUGGACGAGAGUCUGAACCAGCCAAGUAGCGUGAAGGAUGACUGCCCUAUGGGUUGUAAACUUCUUUUAUAUGGGAAUAAAAUGUCCCUCGCGUGGGAUCUUGUAUGUACCAUCUGAAUAAGGACCGGCUAACUCCGUGCCAGCAGCCGCGGUAAUACGGAGGUUCCGAGCGUUAUCCGGAUUUAUUGGGUUUAAAGGGAGCGUAGGUGGAUUGUUAAGUCAGUUGUGAAAGUUUGCGGCUCAACCGUAAAAUUGCAGUUGAAACUGGCAGUCUUGAGUACAGUAGAGGUGGGCGGAAUUCGUGGUGUAGCGGUGAAAUGCUUAGAUAUCACGAAGAACUCCGAUUGCGAAGGCAGCUUACUAAGCUGCAACUGACAUUGAUGCUCGAAAGUGUGGGUAUCAAACAGGAUUAGAUACCCGGGUAGUC
Molecule: ribosomal RNA, 460 nt
Filed under: uncultured bacterium
Lineage: Bacteria
Description: partial 16S ribosomal RNA
Rfam family: Bacterial small subunit ribosomal RNA
Source: RNAcentral